Molecule: ribosomal RNA, 289 nt
Filed under: uncultured bacterium
Lineage: Bacteria
Description: partial 16S ribosomal RNA
Rfam family: Bacterial small subunit ribosomal RNA
Source: RNAcentral
GUGGAUUAGAUACCCUAGUAGUCCACGCCCUAAACGAUGUCAACUGGUUGUCGGGUCUUCAUUGACUUGGUAACGUAGCUAACGCGUGAAGUUGACCGCCUGGGGAGUACGGUCGCAAGAUUAAAACUCAAAGGAAUUGACGGGGACCCGCACAAGCGGUGGAUGAUGUGGAUUAAUUCGAUGCAACGCGAAAAACCUUACCUACCCUUGACAUGUAUGGAACCCUGCUGAGAGGUGGGGGUGCCCGAAAGGGAGCCAUAACACAGGUGCUGCACGGCCGUCGUCAACU